GAACAUGUGGACCCAUGUGGGCGAAUUAAGCAUCUGCCACAGAUGAAGAGUCCUUUGGAAUAGUAUUCGACAUCAUCAAAUAUUACGGCUGAAAAGAAGAGAGCACACUUUUCCAUUACUAUUGGCUCCUUUAAAUGUGGCCCCUUAUGCUUGGUGGGGGAUUUGCUAAUACCAGCAAAAUUGGCUCAGAAGAGCACACUGCAAUAGAGAGUCAAGGUGAAACUAAAUGAAGAAAAGAGGAGUACAGAAGUCUCCCUGGAGUGAGGGAACACUUAUUAAACAGAGUUCACCUUCAGCAGAAGAGGGCCUCACACUGAGUAUGAAAUCUCAAGAUCAG
Non-coding RNA from Macaca mulatta (Rhesus monkey), 337 nucleotides. The record is from RefSeq and is a predicted model, not a curated record. Lineage: Eukaryota; Metazoa; Chordata; Mammalia; Primates; Cercopithecidae.